Molecule: RNA transcript, 2388 nt
Organism: Osmia bicornis bicornis
Lineage: Eukaryota; Metazoa; Arthropoda; Insecta; Hymenoptera; Megachilidae
Exons: 2
Source: RefSeq, a predicted model, not a curated record
GGUCGGGUUUUAUAAUGAAAGCGUUACUGCUACUUGCUCUUCUAUUUUUGCGCGAACACUUUCGCUUUUCGCUAUCUAGCUCGCAUGCUUUGACCGCUCGCGCGAUUAUCCCAGCGGAUCGGUGCACUCUUAAUUACCUGUUAUUUUUCAUAGACCAAAUCGAUCAAGGAAUUUAGUCAAUUUUCUCAUGGUACACAUUUUGAAUUCUAGAUUCUCGAUUGAUAACGAGGCUAACAAGCUUGAAAUCAGAUACGAGGAGAAUCUAAUUAUGUAGCUUAUUAGCUUGUUAUUGAUUCGCGUAUCUGAAUCAAAAGAUAUCGAUCGGCGGAUAUACCGUGCAUCUCGGUAAACUGUAAUAGAAGGUUCAGGUUCCACCACUUUUGAACGUCAACAGCUGUGCAAUCCGCGAACGAUUAAGUGGCUUAUAAAUUUAAUAUUGGUCAAUGCAAAUCGUGACGCUGCUGUCUAAUCGAUUAGACGGUAGUACAAAGUAUAAGUACCAGGAUGUAGCUGGAAUUUAAGUGAAUCAACUUUGUCGAGAUAACCAGAACAGACAUGAAAAAAGUUCUUGAAAUCGCACUUCGGGUUACAUCAUUAAUAACAUAAAUAUUAUUGAAUGUAGUUAAAAGUAAUUUGGUAUUUUGUACUAUAACAUUUUGACAGUCAAUGUUACUUAUAUCUGACCUUGAUACAUACGUCAAUUUUUAAUUUAUAUUUAAUUUAAGAAUUAAUCGUUUCAAAGCAUAUAUUUAAAAAGCUCUUAAUCUAAAAUGACAAGAUCCAAAGCGGUACUUUAAAUGCGUUGUAUCCUGUUGAUUGUUUGAAAAUUAUAUUAUAGAUUAGCAUUUAACCGUCGCCUUGAGAAUACUGAUCCCGUUGUUUUUGUAUCAACGUCCUUCAAUCGUUAUCUAGAAGAUAAUUAGUGUUUUGUUAACCGAGAAGGGGAGGACCGAGAAGCGUGAUGCUCCAAAAUGAGAAUUGCGCGACGAUGAGCCAAGAGAUGGAAAAAAACUUGCAAAACGUAGACAACGAAAGUAAACAGAACGUCGCAUCGACAAUUCUUUAUUUUCUCUUUUCUCGUAACCACUUGAAUAGAUUCGUCGUUUUGUCGCAUUAUCGCGUCAAAUGUGGGAUUGGCGAAUUAUCGCGAGCAGACUGUGAACUACGGACCAAGCGAAGCGGUGUUGGAUUGUGUCGAAAUCGAAAUGCAUUCUCAUCUCUUCAACAUUCAUGAAUUGAAGUCGCACCCUGAAACUGAAUCGAAUAAUAAUAUUGCAUCGGAUGCAAUUGAAAUGAGGACGAUCGAGAGAGUUAUAAUGCAGCAUCGAGAAGAGAUUGUAUGCAUGAAGAAUAUAAUGACGACGGAACCGAUCGACUCGCCUUGUCGAAUGCAUUCGAGGUGAAUUUGUUAGAGGAAAAAAAGAAAAAAUAAGACGACGUCGAAGCAAGAUUGCUCAGAGAAAGGAAACGUGCUUAGCUCGUUGUACUUUGAUCUAAGCUGGCCAGUAUGUACGCGCAAUUCAUACAACAUUAUUGUUUACUGAGAUUUCUCGAACAAUUUCUCAUACUUUUUUUGUUUGGGAUUUCCGAGUCGGUUGCCUUUAAUCAUGCAAAUGAUUAAUUUCAUGGAACAUAGGAUCACGGAUAACGGGGACAUAGGGUACGCGAAAAUCUCGAUGUUUCGGUAAACUUCGAACCUGUUUUGUUUUCUUCAAUGAGAGAUACUGAUACCUUUUGUUUCCUAUAACUUUAGCGGAAAGUUAAUAUCAUUUGUUUCAAGUAAACAAAUUUAUUUUGUUAAAGCAUACAAGUGUUUUGCUAUUUUAUACUGUUCUUCGAAGGAAAAUUAUAAUUGAACAAAUCAGGAUUCGAUUGUUACGAUUGAUUUUAAUAGCGUCUAGUUUCAAGGCAGCGUUCCAUUACAAGUUUAUCAGGUUCCAAUAUUUUUCUUCACCCUACGCAGCUAAUUAAUCAUUACGCAGUGCAUCGAUAAUUAUAAAUCAUUUUUUCAGUCUGACACAUUUCUUUGUUUCUUUCUUUCAUUUAAUUAUGAAACUAGUGUUAAUUUUCUAGAAUGAUGUUUGAUUGCUUAUAUCUAAUUUGUUAUUAAAGAUCCAAAGAUUCCUAUGAUUACAUCCAGUUUCGACAACUAACUAUUCUGUCAAUUAGUUUAAAAAUAAAUGGUAAUUAUUUGUUAUAUUACUUAUGGUGUGUAAACUUGAAUUAUACUUUAAUUGCAAAAUCAAAAACGGCUGAAACUACUCGACGACUUUCCGGUUGACAUAGUGACAUCAUUUAUUAAGUAACAAGACCGAAAAAUGAUUAGAAUAAUUAUUUGACAAAUUUAUAUUUUGAAAAGACUGAACUUCCGACAGUCGGUAAUCGACC